ACCACAGAUAGUCAGCAGGUGGUACUUGCCAUGUAUGACCUUGCGUUACAUCUGUGGCAGAGGAAUCUCAGUAAUGGAGGCAGCCAUGUUGAUCUGUUCUGGGUCUCUGGUUGUUUUCCAUGCUGAGAGAGUUCUUGAGAGUUGGUCAGAUCCUUGUGUGGUUCUGGUCAUAGUUAUUUGAACUAACAUG
Molecule: small nucleolar RNA, 190 nt
Organism: Haliotis rufescens (red abalone)
Lineage: Eukaryota; Metazoa; Mollusca; Gastropoda; Lepetellida; Haliotidae
Product: small nucleolar RNA SNORA74
Exons: 1
Source: RefSeq, a predicted model, not a curated record